RNAcentral lists this ribosomal RNA (252 nucleotides) under uncultured bacterium. RNAcentral describes it as "partial 16S ribosomal RNA". It matches the Rfam family "Bacterial small subunit ribosomal RNA", at positions 524 to 776 of the family's 1533-position model. The record is from RNAcentral.
UACGUAGGUCCCGAGCGUUGUCCGGAUUUGUUGGGCGUAAAGCGAGCGCAGGUGGUUUAUUAAGUCUGGUGUAAAAGGCAGUGGCUCAACCAUUGUAUGCAUUGGAAACUGGUGGACUUAAGUGCAGGAGAGGAGAGUGGAAUUCCAUGUGUAGCGGUGAAAUGCGUAGAUAUAUGGAGGAACACCGGUGGCGAAAGCGGCUCUCUGGCCUGUAACUGACACUGAGGCUCGAAAGCGUGGGGAGCAAACAGG